UUCAUUUGCCAUUAUCACUUUUAAUGCCAUCUCAAUUCAAGUACAUCAAACUUACAAAUCUGAUAUUCAUACAUCCAAACAGUGAAACAUAACAACAGAUUCAAACAUAGUCAGCUUUGCCUUUCACUGAAUUAAUGGAGCAUGCACCAGUUUUAGCGUCACACUCUUCCAUCAGCAUCAUCCGUCCUGGGACAGAAGUACAGGUGAGUACAUCCAUAGACUUUAUUCAUUCAUUCAGAAAUGUGGGUUUGGUCCAGUCCUGGACAGAUGUUUCAGCUCAUAUUGCAACAUGGCAAUAUCCUGGGAUAAAUAUGAAAAGUACAUCAAGAUCUAAAAAAAAAAAAAAACAAAAACCAAGACGUUAUCACAAAAUGAAGGCACAGCCAAAGCAGAGGAGUCAUCUUGACUUCAGUGCUUAUGGGAUUUUUAUUUUUUUGGAAUGCACAUUAGGUAGAAUUCUUGCGGAUGGGAGAACAAAUAGAAUAAAUAUUGUUCAGAACAAUAUUUAUUGCUGCUGGAAAUUACGAAGUGCCAUGCUGGGUCACCCAUUCACCGUAAAAAGGCCACCGAUCAACAGAUUGAGCGUUUAUGACACUUACAGAAGACAUUUUUUAUCAUUAAAAUGACUUCAGAGAAUUUUAACUGCUUUACACCCUGAUAGCUUCAGUCAGAUUGUUUCAAUACAGAACUACUGAAUACUGACCUCAUUGUGCUUUAUUCUGUGCGUUAGUGUUCAUUAUUAUCACAGUGCUCAACCCAGUCUGGGCUUAUUAAUGACACAUUAACAGCAGUAAUGUUAUUAGUACAAUGUGUCAGCUCUUGAAUUAUGUUCCCUAACAUAGCAAAGAGGGUUUCAUCUGUGUAUCAUUAACAUCACAGGCACACACUUCAAGUAAUUUCAGGUAUGAAGGAGAAGGAUUCAAUCAUAAAUAAAAUACACACUGACAUAUGUAAUUAAAAAGUAGUUCAACAACUUCAGGAACCAUUAAAAGAUUUUGAAUACGUGUGAAUUUGACAGAAUUUGGGAUGCAGCACAAAAACAAGAAAAAAAAAAGAAGUGCUGUAACUGAAACAUUUCUUACGAGAAAUGCUGUCAGCAGUGAAGGGUGUUCGUGUUCUGAAAAUAUAAAUAAUAUUAAAAGAAUUGACCGUACGUUCCAGUUGUUUCCAUGACUUGGUGGCUGCUACAUUUCCAAUUCUGCCUCAUCUUUCACGUUCACCUCAACUUUUCAUGGUUCUUGCAUAUAGAAAGACACAUUUCACUUCCUGAAAUGUGUGCAGGCUUUGUGUGAAAUUACAAAAAUAUACAAAUACGACCUCAAAUAUACGCUCUAUUGGUUAAAAGAAAAAAAAACAUAAUAUGAAAGAGAUUCAUAUUCUAUAUGCUUUGGAUAAAAAUUGAGGUAUUCGAGGGUCGGGAUGAAGGUACAAGCAUGCUGGUUCUGUAACGGACUGUUUGUAAAAGAGCUCAAAGUUCCAUCACACUGAGGACACAGUGGUCUGGAGAGUCUAAUCUUUCAUCUGAAAUAAGUGAGAUGUGCUACUUCUUUCUGUUGCUUAAUGGAGAGUCACCUUG
Long non-coding RNA from Amphiprion ocellaris (clown anemonefish), 1576 nucleotides. NCBI's taxonomy places the organism in Eukaryota, Metazoa, Chordata, Actinopteri, Pomacentridae. The record is from Ensembl.